CAGCCAAAAGGCAAACAAAUUGAUGUGAACCUCUUAAUUUUAAAACUUGAAGAUUUCUGUGGAAUUAGUGACACACAAUUUGCAUACAGACAAUUAAACGAGCCUUCUAAUCACUCAUCAUGAUGGAAAGUCUUUUGGAUGCUACCCACAGGAUCAGUUAUUUUUAUAACCCUCGGCUGUUUUAAGUUAUUUUUUGAAUUACUCUCUCUCACUGCAGCUUGACGUUACUUAGUAUAGAGCUGAAAAAAGAAAAUGUGCUAUAUCUAAAAACCAGGAAAAAACAAGAAAAAGGCCUAAGGUUCCAAAAGCAAUGUUGUCAUAGCUACAUUAGGCCUACUAAUUACCAUAUCAGAAAUUUCUCUGAAAGUGGUGUUGGGAAAGACAAUAACGAGGCUCUGUAUCUCAGAGCACUGUCCAAACGCUCCCUGAACUCCAGCACUGGGGCCGUGCCCACAGCCCUGUGCAGGCUGUUCCAUGCCCACCGCCCUGUGGUGCAGAGCCUUUCCCUCACCCCCAGCUGCCCUCCCCUGCCGCAGCUCCAUGCCGUUCCCUCGGGCCUGUCGCUGUCACACAGAGCAGAGCUCAGCGCUGCCCUCCGCUCCCUGUGAGGAGCUGCAGCCGCCAUCAGGCCUCCCCUCAGCUGCUCUGCUCUGGGCUGCAAGCUCAGGUCCCCUUUCUGCACAGAUGUGGGCAUGUUUAACCUUAUGCGCAGGGCAGUUAUAGGAGAGAGCAUCCUUCCAGCUCAUCUGCAUACUAUUAGGAAGGUGCUCAAGCAGAGCAGGUAAGUGCUGGCGUGCUUGAUAGGAUCAGCUGGUCAGACUUGCCUACAGCCCCACACCACUGACUGGGAAAAGUGCCCACUUGCUAAUGAGCGCUCAGGCAUAGCAAUUAGAUUGUAAGCACUCUGGAUUAGCACCAUCUGCACCAUGCUCAUAUAGUACCUGCUACAGAAGGCCCUCAGUCCAUACUGCUGGUAAGUCCCACUACACAAACACCCAGAGCAAGGAGAUCACGCUUUUCCUGAUCUCUGCAUGUCUUUUUGGAGAAAGUGGGGGAAAUGAUCAUUUUCAAAAGAACAUCAUGUUACAGCAGCUCUCAGCGUAGCUCAGUGCUGAACUCAGUAAAACUUUCCAGCUGAGAAGCAGAAAAGAGGCAU
RNAcentral lists this long non-coding RNA (1156 nucleotides) under Phasianus colchicus (ring-necked pheasant). RNAcentral describes it as "lncRNA (ENSPCLG00000013476.1)". Lineage: Eukaryota; Metazoa; Chordata; Aves; Galliformes; Phasianidae. The record is from RNAcentral.